Molecule: ribosomal RNA, 497 nt
Filed under: uncultured bacterium
Lineage: Bacteria
Description: partial 16S ribosomal RNA
Rfam family: Bacterial small subunit ribosomal RNA
Source: RNAcentral
GAUGAACGCUGGCGGCGUGCCUAAUACAUGCAAGUCGAGCGAACAGACGAGGAGCUUGCUCCUCUGACGUUAGCGGCGGACGGGUGAGUAACACGUGGAUAACCUACCUAUAAGACUGGGAUAACUUCGGGAAACCGGAGCUAAUACCGGAUAAUAUAUUUAACCGCAUGGUUCAAUAGUGAAAGACGGUUUUGCUGUCACUUAUAGAUGGAUCCGCGCCGCAUUAGCUAGUUGGUAAGGUAACGGCUUACCAAGGCAACGAUGCGUAGCCGACCUGAGAGGGGGAUCGGCCAAACUGGAACUGAGACACGGUCCAGACUCCUACGGGAGGCAGCAGUAGGGAAUCUUCCGCAAAGGGCGAAAGCAUGACGGAGCAACGCCGCGUGAGUGAUGAAGGUCUUCGGAUCGUAAAACUCUGUUAUUAGGGAAGAACAAAUGUGUAAGUAACUAUGCACGUCUUGACGGUACCUAAUCAGAAAGCCACGGCUAACUACGUG